UACGCAGGCGGAAAAUUAAGUCAGUAGUGAAAUCCUGCAGCUUAACUGUAGAACUGUUAUUGAUACUGGUUUUCUUGAAUGUAGUUGAGGUAGGCGGAAUGUGUAAUGUAGCGGUGAAAUGCUUAGAUAUUACACAGAACACCGAUUGCGAAGGCAGCUUACUAAACUAUGAUUGACGCUGAGGUACGAAAGCGUGGGGAGCGAACAGGAUUAGAUACCCUGGUAGUC
This 228-nucleotide ribosomal RNA is filed under the name uncultured bacterium. RNAcentral's name for it is "partial 16S ribosomal RNA". It matches the Rfam family "Bacterial small subunit ribosomal RNA", at positions 568 to 795 of the family's 1533-position model. The record is from RNAcentral.